RNAcentral lists this non-coding RNA (25 nucleotides) under Cricetulus griseus (Chinese hamster). Lineage: Eukaryota; Metazoa; Chordata; Mammalia; Rodentia; Cricetidae. The record is from RNAcentral.
CUGACACACUGUGAGCCAGCCCAAC